AGUGAAGGAGUCGUUUACAAAUGUAACUGAAUCACUGAAGGAGUCAUUUACAUUUAUAACAGAAUCAGUGAAGGAGUCGUUUACAAAUGUAAAUGAAUCACUGAAGGGGUCAUUUACAAAUGUAGGACAGGAAGUGUGGAGAAAGUGGGGGAUUCCGGGAUGGACAGACUCUCAGUGUGACUCUCAGUGUGAAAGACAGAAUGGAGUGAUGGUGAAGAAUGCAUGUCUCGGUUUUAAACACUUAGUAAGGGUUCAAUGUUCUCACUGUCUCUCAUCCUUCUUCACACUCUGUAAUGCUCCAACUGCUCAACUGCGUGACUCUCUCUCUCUCUCUCUCUGUGAGAUGAUGUGAGAUGGUUAAAUCUUUAGUGGAAUAUUGAGGAUUUUAGAUCAAAUGUUGCAGGUGUUUUUAAAUCAGUUUGAACAUAAAACUUUAAGAAAGUCAGAAUAUUUCUGCUGUGUUACCGUCACCUGACGUUAUGUUGAUAAAAAUGUUGUCUUUAAAAUAAAUCUGAUUAACACGCAGUUGUUCCCGAGUUAAUCUUUUUGCACAGUGCAUGUUUGAGAUGAUUCCAGAUAGAGAUGAGACAGAUGACGACACAGAUAGAGUUCUCCUUAAAGCCGAUGAUGUCACUGAGACAGAAACGUUCGAACAUAUCUCCUUUUGAGUUCAAUUUUAGAUGAAAAAGGAUUAAAACUUAUGAACACUGAGGCUUUGAGACAGUCUGAGACGUUCCCCUGAGAACCACAUCUUCCGCUGUGCUUCUACUUCUGCUGUCCUUUUUAUGUCUUCACUUAAAAUGUUCUGUUAUAAACGACAGUAUUUAUAAAAACAUUUACAGCAGACAAGCACUUAGAGAUUUGUGAACUCAUUUACUGAGCAGUGUGUGCAUGCGAGAUAUUUCUGGACUAUACAAAGAUAAAUUAUCCCCAAACAUGGCGGAAUUCAUUUACAAAAGUAAGCGGAUCAAUUAAGGAGUCGUUUAUAAUGUAAGUGAGUCACUCCAAAAGCCAUUUAAGGAUUCAUUCACAAUUGAAUUACUUUUCUACUUACUUAAAGAGUCUUUUUCAAAUAUGACUGCACUGUUUGAGAAGUCAUUUACACAAGUGCGUCACUUGAAGAGGCAUUUACAAAUGCUGAUGUUUGACGUUAAUUCGGAUGGUGUUGGCGUUUGAUGUUAAUUCGGAUGGUGUUUGAUGUUAAUUCGGAUGAUGUGGUGUAUGAUGUUAAUUUGGAUGGUGUUUGAGGUUAAUUAGGAUGGUGUUGGUGUUUGACGUUAAUUCCAAUGGGUGUUUCACGUUAAUUCCAAUGGUGUUGGUGUCUGAAACUGAAACAGCUUCACCUACAGAAAACGUCUCGUACAAGUGAGUCGACUCUCAGCGUGUGAACGACUCACCGAGCGACUCGUUCACAAACGACCCAUCACUAAUAUCCAGAUGUUUCCUCAUGCUCUCAGUCUGUCUGCGUGCUGGAAUAAUCUUUUACAUUCUUGGUAUUUACUCAGGCAGAACACAGGGACGUAUCGAUCUGUAAUACAUUCCUCUU
This is a long non-coding RNA of Ictalurus punctatus (channel catfish), 1546 nucleotides long. The record is from Ensembl. Lineage: Eukaryota; Metazoa; Chordata; Actinopteri; Siluriformes; Ictaluridae.